RNAcentral lists this ribosomal RNA (492 nucleotides) under uncultured bacterium. RNAcentral describes it as "partial 16S ribosomal RNA". It matches the Rfam family "Bacterial small subunit ribosomal RNA", at positions 29 to 507 of the family's 1533-position model. The record is from RNAcentral.
AGUGAACGCUGGCGGUAGGCCUAACACAUGCAAGUCGAACGGCAGCACAGUAAGAUCUUGCUCUUACGGGUGGCGAGUGGCGGACGGGUGAGGAAUACAUCGGAAUCUACUUUUUCGUGGGGGAUAACGUAGGGAAACUUACGCUAAUACCGCAUACGACCUACGGGUGAAAGCAGUGGAUCUUCGGACCUUGCGCGAUUGAAUGAGCCGAUGUCGGAUUAGCUAGUUGGCGGGGUAAAGGCCCACCAAGGCGACGAUCCGUAGCUGGUCUGAGAGGAUGAUCGGCCACACUGGAACUGAGACACGGUCCAGACUCCUACGGGAGGCAGCAGUGGGGAAUAUUGGGCAAUGGGCGCAAGCCUGAUCCAGCCAUACCGCGUGGGUGAAGAAGGCCUUCGGGUUGUAAAGCCCUUUUGUUGGGAAAGAAAAGCAGCAGGUGAAUACCCCGCUGUUCUGACGGUACCCAAAGAAUAAGCACCGGCUAACUUCGUG